Molecule: ribosomal RNA, 497 nt
Filed under: uncultured bacterium
Lineage: Bacteria
Description: partial 16S ribosomal RNA
Rfam family: Bacterial small subunit ribosomal RNA
Source: RNAcentral
GAUGAACGCUGGCGGCGUGCCUAAUACAUGCAAGUCGAGCGAACAGACGAGGAGCUUGCUCCUCUGACGUUAGCGGCGGACGGGUGAGUAACACGUGGAUAACCUACCUAUAAGACUGGGAUAACUUCGGGAAACCGGAGCUAAUACCGGACAAUAUAUUGAACCGCAUGGUUCAAUAGUGAAAGACGGUUUUGCUGUCACUUAUAGAUGGAUCCGCGCCGCAUUAGCUAGUUGGUAAGGUAACGGCUUACCAAGGCAACGAUGCGUAGCCGACCUGAGAGGGUGAUCGGCCACACGGGAACUGAGACACGGUCCAGACUCCUACGGGAGGCAGCAGUAGGGAAUCUUCCGCAAUGGGCGAAAGCCUGACGGAGCAACGCCGCGUGAGUGAUGAAGGUCUUCGGAUCGUAAAACUCUGUUAUUAGGGAAGAACAAAUGUGUAAGUAACUAUGCACGUCUUGACGGUACCUAAUCAGAAAGCCACGGCUAACUACGUG